UAAUCCAGAAAGUGAACUAAGUGGUCAAUAUUCUGUUGUUGAUGUUAUCUCAAUUCUCAUCCACUGCAUAUGUGAUUCUAGUAGCACAUGAACUUUCUAGAGGGGAUUGAGAAAGGAGAUCAUGUAACUAAUAUUAGUUAUGAGGGGCCAAAGUCAAUAUAAAAUGAAAAUAUGGUUAAAAGUUGACAUAAAAAUGCGUGGUUAUAUUUAUAAUUCAAAAAGCUUUG
This 227-nucleotide unclassified non-coding RNA is filed under the name Hevea brasiliensis (rubber tree). The record is from RNAcentral. Lineage: Eukaryota; Viridiplantae; Streptophyta; Magnoliopsida; Malpighiales; Euphorbiaceae.